GAUUGCCAGGGACAAAAUCCAUGGAUAUUGGAGUCCUGAAUAAAACAUCUAUUCCAUAUAUUGCACUAAAACUUGACCUUGCUCUGAUUCGGGAUACAAAUAAAGAUAUUUCCAUUUGCUUAAAAUUAAAUGUACCUAUGGUUUUCAGGGGUUACAGGUUGGUGGGCACCCUGGUAGUUGGGGAUAAUGGUUUUCAGGGGUUACAGGUUGGUGGGCACCCUGGUAGUUGGGGAUAUUCACCGGGAGCAGGAUACACUGGGUCGCUGUAGGAGUCGAGCAUCCUCUUUGCCCCACUUGUAUUUGUAUUGAUGUUCUCGUUGCCCACCACCUU
This 331-nucleotide long non-coding RNA is filed under the name Phoenix dactylifera (date palm). RNAcentral's name for it is "long non-coding RNA (PDAC_LNC005579)". Lineage: Eukaryota; Viridiplantae; Streptophyta; Magnoliopsida; Arecales; Arecaceae. The record is from RNAcentral.